UUUAAGCAUAUCACUCAGUGGAGGAAGAGAAAGCAACUGCGAUUGCUGCAGUAAUGGCGAAUGAACGGGCAAGCACAGCUGUCCCGAAGUGAAUCCCAACUGCACUUCUCGUGCAUUCGGCUCUUGUGGGUUUCAGCAGAUGCUGUGGGCAACGGACUGGAUGGCUAUGUCUUGGUCUGGCUGGGCACCAAGGAGCGACCUGGAAUGGUCCACAACAGAGGGUUACUGUCCCAUAUGGUGCUGUGUGCCUGGCCAGCCGGGUGUGGCUGUCCGGAUCCAGAAGUAGAGUGGCUUGGGACUGCAGUUUGAAGCGUGAUGUGUAUCCAUCACAAGGAAGCAUACUUGACAUGGGACCGAUAGCGCACAAGUAAAGUGAUCGAAGGAUGCAAAGGACUCUGCAAAGAGAGUUAAAAGUCCCUGAAGCCUCAGCAGGAACGGCGGAGAUUGAUGCUGUCAUUGUGGAUUACGAGGCCAUUUGGCCAGCUGAAGGUGGGUCUGCCUCUGCAAGCAUUCGAGCGAGGCUCCCCCUGCGGUUGCGCCUGGUCUCUCCUCGUCAACCAAGCAACCUUGGGCCAACCUCUGGGUUGAUCGCUGAGCCUUGCCCUCAAGGGUCGGAGGACUAUCGCGACAGCCUGUGGUGGCACCCUGUGUGUCAGGGCCUGAGGUUCUAGAUGCGAUUGUCACAGCGAUUGGAAUGGCAUUGAGGGGCCGCUGUCCGGGAAGGAUGCAGAGAGGCCCCCACUCGGGGUGCAUCGAGCCUGCCACCAAACAGGCACCGGGCGGUGGUCAUCUCCCAACAGAAUGAGAGUGUGCUGAGCCUGGUGUGUCUCCGGACAUGCCAGUGACCAUGCAGUAUCCUUGGUUUGGGGCUGGCGGACCCAUGGUGGCUGCACCACUCUGAUGGUGGCUCCUGUGGGACUGCUGGCCCUCCAGAUGGUGCAUGGGCCAGAUGGCAGCUGAGCUUGGUACAGCAGUGCCACUCUCUGCCCGUCUUGAAACACGGACCAAGGAGUCUAUGGAGCUUGCAGGUUUGAAGGUGUUAUCAGCAAACCACAGGGCGUGGUGAAGGCAAGUCAUCCCAGAUGGUGCAGAUUGGAGCCAAAGUCGAAGUGUGAGCACGGUGUGAGCGGAGAGGCCACCCCCCUGGCAUGUGGAAUGUCUGUGGCAGGUCCCGGGGUGCGACUCCUCCCUCCUCCGUCGCCACCAGAGGUUCAAGUUGCGAGAUUGCUGCAUGGGACACCGGUCUUGAUGUCCAGUGGACUGAGUUCUGAGUGAUUGCAAGGUCCAUGGGACCCGAAAGGUGGUGAACUAUACCAUUCUAUGGUGAAGCCGUGGGAAACUGCGGUGGAGGCCAGUCGCUGUUCUGACGUGCAAAUUGUGUAGCCUGAGCGUGGCAUAGGGGUGAAAGGCCAAUCGAGCCACCUAGUAGCUGGUUUCCCUCGAAGUUUCCCUCAGGAUAGCUGGGCUCAAAUGCAAAGUCAACACCAAGUGAUUCCGUCCGGUAAAGCAACGCAUGAGAGGCACCCCGGGCAGGCUUCCCUGCUCGACCUAUUCUCGAACUGUGAAUGGGCGUGGAAACACCCCAACAGGCAUGCUUCUUCACUAUGCUGGAGUCCGUCCCAGACGGUUCUCCUCGGCUUCUGAGCGUGUUUAUGGUGGCCCAGUCUGAUUGCGAGCCCUGAGUGCGGAGCAGGCAGAGGCGAGUCUGGCGGUGGGCAAUCUCUCUGUGAGGCCACAACCAGCCCGCCCCGUCCUGGCGGACCCUCCCACUCCGAUCUUUGUGAGUCGAGCCCAAGAGAUUGAUGUGCUGCCAAGUUGAACAGAUGUGCCUAUGUGGACCAAGAUUGGUAAGCAGUGCUGGUGAUGCGGGGUGCUCCGAGAGUGGAUUUACAGAACCCGAGUGCUGGCUCAUACCCAGAUCCCACAAAGGAUGUCGCCUGCUAGAGAUAGCAGGACGGUGGCCAUGAAGGUUGGAACCCGCUAAGGAAUGUGUAACAACUCACCUGCCGAAGCGUGCAGCUCCGAAAAUGGAUGGUGCCCAAGUCAGUGAAGCUAAAUUUGCCUUACAAUCCACCGCUGCUGUGGGCAGCCAAGCAGAGCAUCAGCCGUGUAGAAAGGACAUGGGAGAUUGCAGAUCAGGCCGGGGUUGCCCCCCGCCGGAGUGUCUUCUGGCGCAGAUCUUGGUUGUAGUAGCGAAUACUCCAUCGAAUGAAGAGCAGAACAAUCUUGCUGUGUGCGGUUGAGGACAGGAGUGGAGCAGGUUUCCACACCAACAUCCGUUGAAUGUGGGUCAGCCGGCCGUGAGCCAAGUGGUAAAUUCACUGAACAACCAAAGCUGCCGUUCCCUUGGGGACCUUCCAAGAGCGAAUUGAUUGCGUGCUGCAAAGCAGGAGAGGGCAAGAGGCUCUGCCCCAAAGGUGUCUGGCAGGAGUGGCAAACAGGCAAGCAAGUGCAACAUUCUGCUGUGAUGGGCUUGGAGCACCCCGGAUGGUGACCUCCUGUGACUUGGCAAGCAGGUUUCGGGGCAGUGCACCCCCUGUGGAGUUCUCGUUUCCUCCUGAUGCAGGCUCAUGUGGGCUAUCGAUCUCAUCUCAGGGUGGUGGUGUAGGCCCUCCGCCCAGCAAGGCAGUGUAUUCUCGGCACUGGUGGCAUAUGCGUUGCGAUCUGACGAACUGCAGGUUGAUAAGGGCCCCCCUCUCGGGGAGGUGUCCCGAAGGCCAAAACAGCUUCUUGAUGGGCCAACCAUGGCGGUCACUGGCUUCAAUGAAAGACCUGUGGGACAAUGUGCUCCUGGUCCCUUGUCUUCGUACUGAAUCACCGCAGCCGGUCUCCUCGGCUAGACGCCGCUUGUUGACGGACUGAAUGCAGCUAAGGGAAGUCGGCAAACUGGCCAUGUACCUUUGGAAGAUGUGGUGGCUCCAGAGGCCAAGUCAUGGGGCCCCGCUGUGGGCUGCGUGGAGUGGAGUGCCAGGUUGCUACCGUGGUGGCUUCGGCCAUCGUGGUGGCUCCUGCCUCUGCCAGCACAGCUCUGCGGCGGGGGGUCGUUCAGCCUUCGGGCUGUCUGUGCCCAUCCCUGUGUCUAUCAAGUGGCUCAUGUGGAACUGUUGCUGUGCAGGGGAAUCUGACUGUUUAAUUGAAACACAGCUUUGUGAUGGGACCAGCUGGCUGGUUCCAUGAGGUGACUUCUGCCCAGUGCUCUGAUUGUCAAUGCGAAGAGAUUCAGCCAAGCGCGGGUAAACGGCGGGAGUAACUAUGACUCUCUUAAGGUAGCCAAAUGCCUCGUCAACCAAUUAUUGACGCGCAUGAAUGGAUCAACGAGAUUCCUGCUGUCCCUAGUUGCUGUCUGGUGAACCAACAGCCAAGGGAACGGGCUUGGAUGUGUCAGCGGGGAAAGAA
The sequence is a ribosomal RNA, 3396 nucleotides long. It matches the Rfam family "Eukaryotic large subunit ribosomal RNA", at positions 33 to 2408 of the family's 3401-position model.